Molecule: unclassified non-coding RNA, 482 nt
Filed under: uncultured Glomus
Lineage: Eukaryota; Fungi; Glomeromycota; Glomeromycetes; Glomerales; Glomeraceae
Description: SSU rRNA
Rfam family: Eukaryotic small subunit ribosomal RNA
Source: RNAcentral
AGCAGCCGCGGUAAUUCCAGCUCCAAUAGCGUAUAUUAAAGUUGUUGCAGUUAAAAAGCUCGUAGUUGAAUUUCGGGAUUGGCGCAUCGGUCGUGCCUCACGGGGUAUGAACUGGUGCAGUCAAUUUCUCACCUUCUGGAGAACCGCGAUGUCCUUAAUUGGAUGCCGUGGGGAACCAGGACCUUUACUUUGAAAAAUUAGAGUGUUUAAAGCAGGCAUUUUUGCUUGAAUACAUUAGCAUGGAAUAAUAAAAUAGGACGGCAUGGUUCUAUUUUGUUGGUUUCUAGGACCACCGUAAUGAUUAAUAGGGAUAGUUGGGGGCAUUAGUAUUCAAUUGUCAGAGGUGAAAUUCUUGGAUUUAUUGAAGACUAACUACUGCGAAAGCAUUUGCCAAGGAUGUUUUCAUUAAUCAAGAACGAAAGUUAGGGGAUCGAAGACGAUCAGAUACCGUCGUAGUCUUAACCAUAAACUAUGCUGACUAG